RNAcentral lists this ribosomal RNA (253 nucleotides) under uncultured bacterium. RNAcentral describes it as "partial 16S ribosomal RNA". It matches the Rfam family "Bacterial small subunit ribosomal RNA", at positions 524 to 776 of the family's 1533-position model. The record is from RNAcentral.
UACGUAGGUGACAAGCGUUGUCCGGAAUUACUGGGCGUAAAGCGCGCGUAGGCGGCUUUGCAAGUCGAGUGUGAAAUCCCCAGGCUUAACCUGGGAACUGCAUUCGAGACUGCAUAGCUAGAGUAUGGGAGAGGGAAGUGGAAUUCCUGGUGUAGCGGUGAAAUGCGCAGAUAUCAGGAGGAACACCGAUGGCGAAGGCAGGUCUCUGGGCAUUAACUGACGCUGAGGAGCGAAAGCAUGGGGAGCGAACAGG